UCUGUAACUGGAAUACCUUCAGGUUGAUGUCUGUAACUGGAAUACCUUCAGGUCGGUGUCUGUAACUGGAAUACCUUCAGGUCGGUGUCUGUAACUGGAAUACCUUCAGGUUGGUGUCUGUAACUGGAAUACCUUCAGGUUGGUGUCUGUAACUGGAAUACCUUCAGGUUGGUGUUUGUAACUGGAAUACCUUCAGGUCAGUGUCUGUAACUGGAAUACCUUCAGGUCGGUGUCUGUAACUUGAAUACCUUCAGGUUGGUGUCUGUAACUGGAAUACCUUCAGGUCGGUGUCUGUAACUGGAAUACCUUCAGGUUGGUGUCUGUAACUGGAAU
Molecule: long non-coding RNA, 333 nt
Organism: Oncorhynchus tshawytscha (Chinook salmon)
Lineage: Eukaryota; Metazoa; Chordata; Actinopteri; Salmoniformes; Salmonidae
Source: Ensembl